CUGAACCAGCCAAGUAGCGUGAAGGAUGACUGCCCUAUGGGUUGUAAACUUCUUUUAUACGGGAAUAAAGUGACCACGUGUGGCUUUUUGUAUGUACCGUAUGAAUAAGGAUCGGCUAACUCCGUGCCAGCAGCCGCGGUAAUACGGAGGAUCCGAGCGUUAUCCGGAUUUAUUGGGUUUAAAGGGAGCGUAGGCGGGUUGUUAAGUCAGUUGUGAAAGUUUGCGG
This 226-nucleotide ribosomal RNA is filed under the name uncultured Bacteroides sp. RNAcentral describes it as "partial 16S ribosomal RNA". It matches the Rfam family "Bacterial small subunit ribosomal RNA", at positions 383 to 607 of the family's 1533-position model. The record is from RNAcentral. Lineage: Bacteria; Pseudomonadati; Bacteroidota; Bacteroidia; Bacteroidales; Bacteroidaceae.